UCACCUGGUCAGGACCCCCGACGUUGG
This 27-nucleotide small RNA is filed under the name Bombyx mori (domestic silkworm). RNAcentral describes it as "ovarian small RNA-25203". Lineage: Eukaryota; Metazoa; Arthropoda; Insecta; Lepidoptera; Bombycidae. The record is from RNAcentral.